Molecule: ribosomal RNA, 468 nt
Filed under: uncultured bacterium
Lineage: Bacteria
Description: partial 16S ribosomal RNA
Rfam family: Bacterial small subunit ribosomal RNA
Source: RNAcentral
GACGAACGCUGGCGGCGUGCUUAACACAUGCAAGUCGAACGGAAAGGCCCUGCUCUUGUGGGGUGCUCGAGUGGCGAACGGGUGAGUAACACGUGAGUAACCUGCCCUUGACUUUGGGAUAACUUCAGGAAACUGGGGCUAAUAUCCGAUAGGAGCUCCUGCUGCAUGGUGGGGGUUGGAAAAUUUCGGCUGUUGGGGAUGGACUCGCGGCUUACCAGCUUGUUGGUCGGGUAGUCGUAUACCAAGGCUUUGACGGGUAGCCGGCAUGAGAGGUUGGCCAGGCACAUUAGGACUGAGAUACGGCGCAGUCUCCUACGGGAGGCAGCAGUGGAGAGUAUUGCACAGUGGGCGGAAGCCUGAUGCAGAGGCGCCGCGUGCGUGAUGACGGCCUUCGAGUGGUAAACCGCUUUCGCCUGUGACAAGGCGUGAGUGACGGUAAUGGGUAAGGAAGCACCGGCUAACUACGUG